Molecule: small nuclear RNA, 280 nt
Filed under: Tupaia belangeri (northern tree shrew)
Lineage: Eukaryota; Metazoa; Chordata; Mammalia; Scandentia; Tupaiidae
Description: 7SK RNA (ENSTBEG00000020340.1)
Rfam family: 7SK RNA
About the family: 7SK was discovered as an abundant small nuclear RNA in the mid-70s but a possible function has only recently been suggested. Two independent studies have found that 7SK RNA binds the CDK9/cyclin T complex (known as elongation factor P-TEFb). P-TEFb activates transcription by phosphorylating the C-terminal domain of RNA polymerase II.
Source: RNAcentral
GGGUGUGAAGGCAAUCUGGUGGUGACAUCUGUCACCCUGUGGAUCACCAUUCGGCUUAUCUGGCUGCCCAGACAGGUGUGUCUUUCCUCCCUCACCAUACCACGGGCAUCUCUCUUGAAGCUGAGCUCUCAGUUGAAGAGGAUGAUCUUCCCCAAUAGAGAGAGACCGCUCUUCAGUCAAGGGUGCAUGAGUGGCUGUGCUCCCCUGCUAGAACCUCCAAAACCAGCUCUCAAUGGUUGAGACUUAGUAGGUUUCACACAUAAAGCAUGUGGCAGCAUUU